This 253-nucleotide ribosomal RNA is filed under the name uncultured bacterium. Its description in RNAcentral is "partial 16S ribosomal RNA". It matches the Rfam family "Bacterial small subunit ribosomal RNA", at positions 524 to 776 of the family's 1533-position model. The record is from RNAcentral.
UACGGGGGGGGCAAGCGUUGUUCGGAAUUACUGGGCGUAAAGGGCUCGUAGGUGGCCAACUAAGUCAGACGUGAAAUCCCUCGGCUUAACCGGGGAACUGCGUCUGAUACUGGAUGGCUUGAGUUCGGGAGAGGGAUGCGGAAUUCCAGGUGUAGCGGUGAAAUGCGUAGAUAUCUGGAGGAACACCGGUGGCGAAGGCGGCAUCCUGGACCGAUACUGACACUGAGGCGCGAAAGCUAGGGGAGCAAACGGG